UACGUAGGGUGCAAGCGUUGUCCGGAAUUAUUGGGCGUAAAGAGCUCGUAGGCGGUCUGUCGCGUCGGCUGUGAAAUCCCGUGGCUCAACUGCGGGCUUGCAGCCGAUACGGGCAGGCUAGAGUUCGGUAGGGGAGACUGGAAUUCCUGGUGUAGCGGUGAAAUGCGCAGAUAUCAGGAGGAACACCGGUGGCGAAGGCGGGUCUCUGGGCCGAUACUGACGCUGAGGAGCGAAAGCGUGGGGAGCGAACAGG
This 253-nucleotide ribosomal RNA is filed under the name uncultured bacterium. Its description in RNAcentral is "partial 16S ribosomal RNA". It matches the Rfam family "Bacterial small subunit ribosomal RNA", at positions 524 to 776 of the family's 1533-position model. The record is from RNAcentral.